AUUGAACGCUGGCGGCAUGCCUUACACAUGCAAGUCGAACGGCAGCACGGGAGCUUGCUCCUGGUGGCGAGUGGCGAACGGGUGAGUAAUGCAUCGGAACGUGCCCUGAAGUGGGGGAUAACGUAGCGAAAGUUACGCUAAUACCGCAUAUUCUGUGAGCAGGAAAGCAGGGGAUCUUCGGACCUUGCGCUUUUGGAGCGGCCGAUGUCGGAUUAGCUAGUUGGUGGGUAAAGGCCCACCAAGGCGACGAUCCGUAGCGGGUCUGAGAGGAUGAUCCGCCACACUGGAACUGAGACACGGCCCAGACUCCUACGGGAGGCAGCAGUGGGGGAAUUUUUGGACAAUGGGCGCAAGCCUGAUCCAGCCAUGCCGCGUGAGUGAAGAAGGCCU
RNAcentral lists this ribosomal RNA (390 nucleotides) under uncultured bacterium. RNAcentral describes it as "bacterial SSU rRNA". It matches the Rfam family "Bacterial small subunit ribosomal RNA", at positions 30 to 417 of the family's 1533-position model. The record is from RNAcentral.